ACGUAGGAGACGAGCGUUAUCCGGAGUUACUGGGCGUAAAGGGCGUGUAGGCGGUAUGCUAAGUCUGGCGUGAAAGCUCUCGGCUAAACCGGGAGAGGUCGUUGGAUACUGGCAAACUAGAGGAUGGUAGAGGCGUGUGGAAUUCCGGGUGUAGUGGUGAAAUGCGUAGAGAUCCGGAGGAACACCAGUGGCGAAGGCGACACGCUGGGCCAUACCUGACGCUAAAGCGCGACAGCAUGGGGAGCAAACGGG
This 252-nucleotide ribosomal RNA is filed under the name uncultured bacterium. RNAcentral's name for it is "partial 16S ribosomal RNA". It matches the Rfam family "Bacterial small subunit ribosomal RNA", at positions 525 to 776 of the family's 1533-position model. The record is from RNAcentral.